CCAAGAUCUCUUUGAAAACAGACAACGGGUGACACUCCAUGUUUAAUCGGCAAGAUUUUAUUUCUUUUUUAGGGUUAUGGAAAACAAUGACUCAUCUUACUAUUGUGACAGUGGUGGUUUGUAUAUGCUUGGCCCAAGGAGUGGCACUAUUAGAAGGUGUGGCCCUGUUGAAGUAGGUGUGUCACUGUGGGUGUGAGCUUUAAUACCCUCAUCCUAGCUGCCUGAAAAUCAGUCUUCCACUAGCAGCCUUCAGAUGAAGAUGUAGAACUCUCAGCUCCUCCUGCACCAUGCCUGUCUGGAUGCUGCUCUGAUCCAACCUUGAUGAUAAUGGACUGAACCUCUGAACCUAACUGCAGGAACAAAAAUGGAGAAGAGCCUGAGGAAAAGGAGGUCCAACAACUGGCCCAAAGUUGGAUCCAGCUCCAAGGGAGGCCGCAAGGUCUGACACAAUUAUUGAUGCUACGGAGCUCUUACAAAAAAGGGACUUACCAUGACCGCACUCUGAAAGACCCAACAAGCAGCUGAAAGAGUCAGAUGCAAAUAUUUACACCCAGCCAAUGGAC
Molecule: long non-coding RNA, 563 nt
Organism: Mus musculus (house mouse)
Lineage: Eukaryota; Metazoa; Chordata; Mammalia; Rodentia; Muridae
Product: predicted gene 45022
Exons: 3
Source: RefSeq, a predicted model, not a curated record